UACAGAGGGUGCAAGCGUUGUCCGGAAUUACUGGGCGUAAAGGGCGCGUAGGCGGCCCGAUAAGUAGGAGGUGAAAUCUUACGGCUUAACCGUGAGACUGCCUUCUAGACUGUCAGGCUUGAGCACGGUAGAGGCAGAUGGAAUUCCCGGUGUAGCGGUGGAAUGCGUAGAGAUCGGGAAGAACACCAGUGGCGAAGGCGGUCUGCUGGGCCGUUGCUGACGCUGAGGCGCGACAGCGUGGGGAGCAAACAGG
RNAcentral lists this ribosomal RNA (253 nucleotides) under uncultured bacterium. RNAcentral's name for it is "partial 16S ribosomal RNA". It matches the Rfam family "Bacterial small subunit ribosomal RNA", at positions 524 to 776 of the family's 1533-position model. The record is from RNAcentral.